CAAGUAAAUACUUUUUGAAUGGUCCAAUAUCAUUCAGUAUCUGUACAAGCAGCACUAUCAAUAGUUUAAUAACAUUUAUAACAACAACAAAAAAUACAACAUAUGAUAUGAGUGUUUAACAAUAAAAGUACUAUAAAAAGUUUCCAACCUAAUGGUAUUAUCACAAGUUUUGCAUCAGUGGGUUUUUUUUAUCAACUCAAAUAAUGGAUAACAAACAUUAUUUAAUAAAACUAUUUAUCUAUUAUUUAGAUUUGAAUAAAAUCUUUGUAGAGACUAUUGUUUUAGUAGGGAGGUCAGAAUAACUAUCAUAUCAUCUGAGUACUAAAUAAACUGUACAGUGACA
Molecule: long non-coding RNA, 343 nt
Filed under: Mytilus galloprovincialis (Mediterranean mussel)
Lineage: Eukaryota; Metazoa; Mollusca; Bivalvia; Mytilida; Mytilidae
Source: RNAcentral